Molecule: ribosomal RNA, 429 nt
Filed under: Bacillota bacterium
Lineage: Bacteria; Bacillati; Bacillota
Description: Firmicutes bacterium partial 16S ribosomal RNA
Rfam family: Bacterial small subunit ribosomal RNA
Source: RNAcentral
UAGGGAAUCUUCGGCAAUGGACGGAAGUCUGACUGAGCAACGCCGCGUGAGUGAAGAAGGUUUUCGGAUCGUAAAGCUCUGUUGUUAGAGAAGAACGUUGGUAGGAGUGGAAAAUCUACCAAGUGACGGUAACUAACCAGAAAGGGACGGCUAACUACGUGCCAGCAGCCGCGGUAAUACGUAGGUCCCGAGCGUUGUCCGGAUUUAUUGGGCGUAAAGCGAGCGCAGGCGGUUCGUUAAGUCUGAAGUUAAAGGCAGUGGCUUAACCAUUGUACGCUUUGGAAACUGGAGGAAUUGAGUGAGGAAGGGGGGAGUGGAAUUCCAUGGGUAGCGGUGAAAUGCGUAGAUAUAUGGAGGAACACCGGUGGCGAAAGCGGCUCUCUGGUAUGUAACUGACGCUGAGGCUCGAAAGCGUGGGGAGCAAACAGG